UAAGAUUAUUUAUUUAAAGUGUUAAUAAAACAAUAAAUUAGUUAGUAUUAUUAAGAACGUUUUGUUAUUUUUUACUGUAAAGGAUUAUAAUGGUUUUGUAAAAGAAACAGUAAGUGUGUGUACCUUGUGUAUUAGGGGCUAUUAAAAUAGCUAUUAAGUUUAAUUUUCCCGAUAUGUUUGUGGGCUAAAAUUUUAUUUUUAUUACUGUUGCAUAAUUAAUACUGAUUAAAUUUUAGGGAUGAUAUAUUAUUCAAACAAUAAGGUUUCUGGUUCUUUAAGAUUUUAAUUUAAUUAGGGUUGAGCUAUUGUGUUUGAGCUCAAUUAGUAUUUAUAAGGGGAUAAGCUUUUAUAAGUGAUUUAUAUACCUUUUUGUAAUUUAAAUUAUUUAGAUUUAAUAUUGAUCUAAUUUUUACAAUGUUAUAAUGAAGUUAAUUUAUUAAUUAUUUAUAUAUGCGUUAUAUAUUAUAUUAAAGUAUAUUGUUAAUAAAGAUUGAAUAACAAUACUGAUAGCAUUAGUAGUAAAUUAUUUAAUUUAGUUAUUGUGUUUUUAUUUAGUUUUAAGGAACUGGGCAAAUACGAUUUUCGCCUGUUUAGCAAAAACAUGGUUUUUUGAUUAGUUACAUAAAAAAUCAGGCCUGCCCGCUGAUAGAUUUGAAGGGCUGCAGUAUUAUGACUGUACAAAGGUAGCAUAAUCAUUAGUCUUUUAAUUGAAGACUGGUAUGAAAGGUUUGACGGAAAUCAGCUGUCUCAAAUGCUAAUUAAUGAAUUUUAUUUUUAAGGAAAAGAGCUUAAAUUUUGCAAUGGGACGAGAAGACCCUAUUAAAUUUUAUUUUUUAUUAAUUAAUACGUUUAAUAAAUAAAGCUUUUAAUUGAUAAGUAAUUUUGCUGGGGCGGCAAAUAAUCAGCAUUAUUUUAAUUUAAUAUGAUAAUUAGCGUUAAGGUUUGAUCCAUUAUGGGUGAUACUGAGAAUAAAUUACUAUAGGGAUAACAGCGUAAUAUUUUUUGAGAGUUCAUAUUGACAAAAAUGUUUGCGACCUCGAUGUUGGAUUAAGAAUUCUUAUUGAUGCAGUAGUUGAUAUAGAAGGUCUGUUCGACCUUUAAAUUCUUACAUGAUCUGAGUUCAGACCGGCGUGAGCCAGGUCGGUUUCUAUCUUUUGUUGGUAUAGGUUUAAAUUAGUACGAAAGGACCAUUUAAUAUAAAAUUUUUAUAAUUUAAUGAAUCAAUUAAAUUUUUGUAAAUAUAGGCCUUA
Molecule: ribosomal RNA, 1250 nt
Filed under: Thyropygus sp. DVL-2001
Lineage: Eukaryota; Metazoa; Arthropoda; Diplopoda; Spirostreptida; Harpagophoridae
Description: LSU rRNA
Rfam family: Archaeal large subunit ribosomal RNA (bases 529-1250)
Source: RNAcentral